AAACAGCGAUGAGACCGUGGUCUCUUCUAUCACGUGACUAAUCAGAACGAGGCUACUUUCAUUUUUGCAUUGCCUACGUGCAGCAUGGGAUUAAGCCCUAUGGUAUCUUCAGAUUACAGCCUAUUAAUUAAGCUGGAAUGCCCCACACAUUAUGGAUGAUAAUUUUGUAAAUUAGAGCAGUACUUUCUCGAGAGGGGCCCUUUGUUUUUCUGGACAUCAGAAUUUUAUAUCAAUGGAUUGUCCUGGAAUUGCCAUACAGCUGCAUCAGGUGUGCUUUUUUCCUAUUCAAAUUUUUGUGUAAGUACAUGUAUUACUUUUUAUUUUCUCUUACAUUAAUUUACUGCAGAGGGUCUAGUUAAUAAAUUUGAUAAAGCUAUAAAGUAGCAUAUAGUCAAUAAUUUCUAUGUGUGAAUCCUAAAGAGUAUAAGGUAACUCUCAUUUUGACUAUAAUUUCUCUGAUUUCAGUAGUAGUCUCCCCUGUUAAAGAUCAGUAAUGGUGGAUAUACAAUGCUGGAUGCAGUCUGGUCAUCAACAGAGAGUUUUGACACCUGUAAUUUGCCUCUGUAACCUUUGCUGUGUUUAUCAGACAGAUGAUGAAUCAGUCUACUUCUUUUUACAAGAGGUGCCCCUCCAGACUCACAAAGAUCCAAAGUUGAGUUUCCAUGACACCUAUUCAGUCUAAUGCAUGUUGGCAACUGAUGCUGGUUCUAUUUUCACCAAGAAGCAUACCAUGCAUACCACCGGUAACCAAGUGAAGGACAUAACCACACUUAGGCAUGCAGCUCUUCGUCCCCUUCCAGAUCUCCUAACCUCUUUGGAAAGCUUUUCUUGGUGACUGGUAAAGUGACAUUUUUACAAUAGAUAGAAAGGAUCCAUGCCUGGCCCUGUUUUCCCUCCCCAUGCUGAUUCCAGUCCAGUGAACCAUCACAAACUUGAAACUUUGCGAUGUACCCUUCCUUAUAAUUUGUCCUUGCCCAAACAGCCAAUGCAAUGAAGAAGAAAAUGCAGGGUUGAAAUGGAUUAAAGAUGAACUAGCUUUUCUAUACAAAUAUUUUCUUGGUGCAUUGUAUAUUUGACUUGUAGAACAAGAAUUUAUCAAAGUUGUCAUUAAUUUAAGAAAAAAGCACAAUUUUCACACUCAUGUAAAAAGAGAAAUAUAACCGAGUAUUGAAUACCAUGUUAGAAUUUUUAGUCAAGCAUGUGUUAAUUACAAAUUGAAAUGCAAAACUUUCAAUAGCAGAUUGAAUAACGUAAAUCUAGAAAUUUUUGCUGUAGAUAAAUUUUUAGCAAAUUUGCGAGUUCAUUGCAUUCACAAAAAUAUAUUUCUUCAAAUUAAUUCAACAAUAAGAAAAUUUAAUCAAAGUAGUAGUCAUUCGCAAAAUUUUGAAACGUAAAAAUUAAUCAACAGCAUUACAACCCAGAUUCACAUAAUAAAAUCGACGUAAACAUUUCCAGAUUUACGGUAGUUACUGUGUAGAUUAUUAUGAAUAUUAGGUCACCCAAGUCAAUCUAACAAUGGUGCACUAUCAUAUGGAAAUUUUCAACUUCUUUGAAACCACUUAAGCAGUCUUAAUUAAUUUUGGCAUACAGUUUGGCUCACCUAUUAAUUUAUUCUUAGAAAAAUUUCUAUGCUCAGGGUUGUAUUCUCCUCUGGUGACUGUUAAGGUCCAUUGGCCCCUUGUUACUCUUUUACUUAAAUAUUUUGUUUUUAAGCUAUUAUUGCUGCAAGCAUUUGCAAGCAUUAUAAGAAUAUUAUUUUCUUUGUUAAGUUUGCUGUCAUUUGUUUAAUUUAUAAGCUUUUCAUGUGUACAUUACUUAUUAUACACAUAUUAUUUUUUGUUGUUAGCAAAUAAUUUGAAUGUAUGCACAUGCCUUUAAUUUGGAUGAGAGCAUAUUUGUAUAUUUUCAAUAUUUUCUUGAGCAAUAAAUAUUUAAUUGAUUUCAGCAUAUUUUAUUAUAUAUUCAAACAUGAAUUGAAUGGCAGCAGGCAUAUUUUGAUAAAUUGAAUACUGCAUUAUAAUGUUAAACAUGACCAGUUAUUGUUACACUACCAUUAAAGAACUCAUAUCUUA
Saccostrea cuccullata (small rock oyster) is the source of this 2072-nucleotide long non-coding RNA. RefSeq lists it as uncharacterized. The transcript is spliced from 6 exons. Lineage: Eukaryota; Metazoa; Mollusca; Bivalvia; Ostreida; Ostreidae. The record is from RefSeq and is a predicted model, not a curated record.